CCCAGAGACCUGUGCGCGAGCAGGUGCCAACGGUGCCAACGAUGCCAACGGUGCCAAGGGCCCCAGAGGGACUGGCAGCCGAAGGAGGAGCAGCCGCGUUCUGCUGAGCCGCCGAGGGAUCAGGCUUGUCAGAGGAGGAGCGCACAAGGCACUGCAUCUCCGAAGCUCCUGAACACCCUGGAAGUGGUUUACCGUUGGCUCUGAGCAGCCACUCACUGGGCAGCACCUUAGCUGCUGUAUUCACCAUGCUGAAGGAGGCUGUGGGUAUCCUGCCCAGAGAAGCAGGAUGCCUAGGACCAUGCCUACCUUCACCAAGGAUGUGGUGGGAACUUGAAACCUGAGACUUCCAGAAGAUGCUGGCCACCAACUGGUGCCUCACGCAGAAACCCCACAGGUCCUGCCAGCACUGGACCCAUGCUCUUUCUCCUGUAGCUUUGCCUUGGCUCAAGACCCAUCUGCACCAGUUCUUUGGUCCCCAGGAGUUCCUUUGGAGGCCUGGCUGUCCCUGUGCUCUGCAAGAGCAGACAAGAUGUGGGUCUGGUUGGGCCCCAAACAGGCCUGAACCUCUGCAUGAAGGAGGAGACUGGAGUCUCUCCAGCCAACAAAUCACCGGAGCUAGCCUGUUUCUCUUUAUGACCAGGAGGAGUUUCAGCAGGAAAUUCAGCCUAGUCCUGGGGAGGGGGCCGGUCACAGCCUCUCACUUAAGAAUGUAGUUUCAAAGGGGAUGAGACUUCCCAAGCAUCAGUGUGUCAGACACAAGGCCAGGGCAGAGUAAUGAGCAUGGUGAGAGUUGAGGAAAAGCUGAGAUGCCCUCCGACAGGCAGGCCCCAAGGAAGGCUGCCUGAGGGAAGUGGCCCAUUAGCCCUGCAGGCUAUGGAGGUGGUUAAGAGUGUGACAGAGGAUUGGCUUUUGAUUUUAGAUUUCCUCAAGUCAAGAGUGUAACAGAGGGCUGGCCUUCUACUUCGUGUUUAUGUACAGUCAGAGAGUGACGGGACUGGGUUUGGAUUUUAGAUUUCCUCAAGAUAAAGCUCCUGCCCUCCAAACGUGGAAGGGAAACGGACAUUCGGGAAGCAGCUUCGCCUUGGAGGGAGCUGGGCUGUGUCAGAAGGGGUCGGCAAGCCUGCCUUUCUGUGGCCCCACUGAGCUCUCCUCCUUUCCCACUGGGUACAGAGCUUGUGCCUUCUGGACCUUGAUCCCGUGAGGCUUCCUGGCAGCAGCUUCCUCAGAACCGGAGGUCUAGGUUGACUCCAUCCCAUCCAGUUGUGCUCCCUACUGUCCUGCGGUGGAGGCACCAGUGGGGCAGUAUGAGAGCAAAACUGGGAGAUGGCACCCGUGCGCAGAAACCCUCAAGGGGUUCACCCUGGGUAAGAAAAUCAGCCAGAGAUGUCUGAUGCUGUGUAACAAACUACCCCACAAUUUAGAAGCUUAAACAUAUUACAGGUUCGGUGGUUUAGGAUGCCCAGCAGUUAGUGGUGUCUCUGGUGGUGUCCCACUCACAGGCUACAGUCAGAGUGUGCUCUGGCCGUGGUCUCUGUUAUGAUGGCCCAGUCAAGAGGAGAUGCUGUCACUCUCAAAGUACAGUUGACAAGAUUUCAGUUCCUUUCCAGCAAACCCACAAAGGGUCUUAUUUUCUGCUUUUUGGCUGGCCUCUUUAUUGCACAGGCCUCUCCACAAUGCACCCCUCAAUAUGAUGGGUGACUCCCACCAGGUUAAGCAAGCAAGAGAGAGCAAAUGAAGUGGGCUCUGCCAUCCAUCUGGUUUCAUAAGGGGGAAUUCUGGGAUGUUUUGUGUUGAAGGCCAUACAUACUAAAAGGGAGCAGGUCCACACUGGAGUACAUACACCAGGGAGGGGAACGUUGAGGACCACCUCAUGGGUCAUCUCCAAGCCUGCCAGGACACCAUCCAAACCCUGUCAGUGUCCUCACCUGGGCACACUACUGUGUUCAGUAUCUUGUUACCCUAGUGCCACAUUUUUAAACCCUGAACUAUAAUACCCUAAGAUAUAACCGGGGAGUCAGAGGUACACAUUUGUUAGAGCUGCCUCUGCUAUCUGUGGACCCCUUUCUAAGACAGCUGAUCCCCUUGAAUUUCCCUGAGCGGCAUAAGGCGUCUAAAGCCUGCGUUGUUAGGCUGUCACUCGAACAAGCUUGGGCCCUGCUCUGAAGUUGAUACUUGAGAGAUCCCUGAGACUGGGAAAACUGAUGGCUAAGCACAUAGAAAAGUCUGCCUGUGUCCUUGCCCGUAUCCAUAGGGGUCACAUAGAUAAGGCUUAAAGAUCAGAGCCCCUAUCUUGGGAGAGCACUUCUUUAUCCUCCUAGACAAGAUCAGGUACCCUCAUCCUAGAACUCCCUAAGGUUUUGAUGAGGUUGGCACUCCCCGUGCACCUGCCCUAAAGCCACCAGUUCUGCCACAGGGUGUUACAUCAUCCCAUGGCAAUCUCUGGUAACUUUGUUUUUUUAUUUUAGAAUUUCCCUGCUCAAGGUUUAUGAAGAGCUGGCAUCUUUGGUUAUUUUGUCUAUAGAUGUAAUAAACUCAAGACCUGUUUGUACUGGGGGUAAAAUAUACGGGGGAUGAAACCUAUGUUAUGAGAAACAGUAUCCUCUUCUGCCUGAAACUUCUCUUUACUGGUGAACCUCAACUCUUGAUUUGCUUUGACAACAAAGAAGGAAUACUGGAAUAGCCAGAGAU
Mastomys coucha (southern multimammate mouse) is the source of this 2688-nucleotide long non-coding RNA. RefSeq lists it as uncharacterized. NCBI's taxonomy places the organism in Eukaryota, Metazoa, Chordata, Mammalia, Rodentia, Muridae. The transcript is spliced from 3 exons. The record is from RefSeq and is a predicted model, not a curated record.